GGGUGCGAUCAUACCAGCACUAAUGCACCGGAUCCCAUUAGAACUCCGUUGUUAAGCGUGCUUGAGCGAGAGUAUUACUAGGAUGGGUGACCUCCUGGGAAGUCCUCGUGUUGCACCCC
Molecule: ribosomal RNA, 119 nt
Filed under: Gossypium hirsutum (cotton)
Lineage: Eukaryota; Viridiplantae; Streptophyta; Magnoliopsida; Malvales; Malvaceae
Source: RNAcentral